RNAcentral lists this ribosomal RNA (440 nucleotides) under uncultured bacterium. Its description in RNAcentral is "partial 16S ribosomal RNA". It matches the Rfam family "Bacterial small subunit ribosomal RNA", at positions 338 to 795 of the family's 1533-position model. The record is from RNAcentral.
CCUACGGGAGGCAGCAGUGGGGAAUAUUGCACAAUGGGGGAAACCCUGAUGUAGCGACGCCGCGUGAGUGAAGAAGUAUUUCGGUAUGUAAAGCUCUAUCAGCAGGGAAGAAAAUGACGGUACCUGAUUAAGAAGCCCCGGCUAACUACGUGCCAGCAGCCGCGGUCAUACGUAGGGGGCAAGCGUUAUCCGGAUUUACUGGGGGUAAAGGGAGCGUAGACGGCAGCACAAGUCUGGAGUGAAAUGCCGGGGCUUAACCCCGGAACUGCUUUGGAAACUGUGCAGCUAGAGUGCAGGAGAGGUAAGUGGAAUUCCUAGUGUAGCGGUGAAAUGCGUAGAUAUUAGGAGGAACACCAGUGGCGAAGGCGGCUUACUGGACUGUAACUGACGUUGAGGCUCGAAAGCGUGGGGAGCAAACAGGAUUAGAUACCCGUGUAGUA